This 644-nucleotide ribosomal RNA is filed under the name uncultured beta proteobacterium. Its description in RNAcentral is "bacterial SSU rRNA". It matches the Rfam family "Bacterial small subunit ribosomal RNA", at positions 68 to 707 of the family's 1533-position model. Lineage: Bacteria; Pseudomonadati; Pseudomonadota; Betaproteobacteria. The record is from RNAcentral.
GGCAGCACGGACUUCGGUCUGGUGGCGAGUGGCGAACGGGUGAGUAAUAUAUCGGAACAUACCCAGUAGUGGGGGAUAACUAUCCGAAAGGAUAGCUAAUACCGCAUACGAUCUGUGGAUGAAAGCAGGGGAUCUUCGGACCUUGUGCUAUUGGAAUGGCCGAUAUCUGAUUAGCUAGUUGGUAGGGUAAAAGCCUACCAAGGCGACGAUCAGUAGCUGGUCUGAGAGGACGACCAGCCACACUGGAACUGAGACACGGUCCAGACUCCUACGGGAGGCAGCAGUGGGGAAUUUUGGACAAUGGGGGCAACCCUGAUCCAGCAAUGCCGCGUGAGUGAAGAAGGCCCUCGGGUUGUAAAGCUCUUUUGUCAGGGAAGAAACGGAGUUCUCUAAUAUAGGAUUCUAAUGACGGUACCUGAAGAAUAAGCACCGGCUAACUACGUGCCAGCAGCCGCGGUAAUACGUAGGGUGCAAGCGUUAAUCGGAAUUACUGGGCGUAAAGCGUGCGCAGGCGGUUUUGUAAGUCUGAUGUGAAAUCCCCGGGCUCAACCUGGGAACUGCAUUGGAGACUGCAAGGCUAGAGUGUGUCAGAGGGGGGUAGAAUUCCACGUGUAGCAGUGAAAUGCGUAGAGAUGUGGAGGAAU